UACAGAGGUGGCAAGCGUUGUUCGGAAUUACUGGGCGUAAAGGGCGCGUAGGCGGUCCGAUAAGUCCCGUGUGAAAUCCCUCGGCUCAACUGAGGAAUGGCACGGGAAACUGACGGGCUUGAGUUCGGGAGAGGGAAGCGGAAUUCCGGGUGUAGCGGUGAAAUGCGUAGAUAUCCGGAGGAACACCGGUGGCGAAGGCGGCUUCCUGGACCGACACUGACACUGAGGCGCGAAAGCUAGGGGAGCAAACGGG
Molecule: ribosomal RNA, 253 nt
Filed under: uncultured bacterium
Lineage: Bacteria
Description: partial 16S ribosomal RNA
Rfam family: Bacterial small subunit ribosomal RNA
Source: RNAcentral